This 1166-nucleotide long non-coding RNA is filed under the name Mus musculus (house mouse). RNAcentral describes it as "long non-coding RNA chr14:65747357-65748523". Lineage: Eukaryota; Metazoa; Chordata; Mammalia; Rodentia; Muridae. The record is from RNAcentral.
ACUCCCAGCACCCAAGAGGGGUGGCUCACAGUGCCUGUAACUCCAGUUCCAGCAGAUCCAAAACUCUCUUCGGGACUACACACACAUGACAUACACAUUUAGAAAGAAACCCAACUAAAAUUUUAAAACAACAAAAAGGCGGAGGUGGCUGAAACCGCCAAAGAACUGAAGCUUGGGUCAUUGAUGUGGGUUUUGUACAAAGAAAGUUUAGGUUGAAGCAGAGUUGAGAUGCGUAUGAACACUAGGAGUGACCGGACUGUUUGUUUAGAAAAUAUUUCAAACAAACCCAAGAGUGAUGUGAUUCCCAGCCUAAGCGCUCUCUCUCUCUCUCUCUCUCUCUCUGUCCUUGUGAUGCUGGGUGGUAGAGGAUAAUGAGGACCCUGCAGAUAUAACUGCAGAAGACUGAGGGCUGCCAGAGCUUCAUGUCCUAACUCCAUAGCCCCUCCCAUCCUGUGGAAGACACCUUGGUGGGUACUUGGAGUCAGUUUCAGAUGGUCUGGCCUCCUACCAUGGGUGGCAGUCAGCUUCUAUUCUUCAUGAAGAUGUUAGUGAGAUUUAGGUAGAAAAGGAAAGAAAUGAGAGAUCUCCAAGGUGGUCUUGUGGGUGCUGUGAUGGCCGAGCUUCAUGCUGGCUUUCUUCCUGACUCAGUCUGGGAGGGACACUUGUCACUUCCAACCACACCACAGUCCCCACCAUGAUCUUCCCUCUGGCUCAUGCUGAGUUUCACGCCACAGAGACAGACCACCAGCCCAUUCUCGGGGUAUUGUCAUUCCCUCAAACAGAGGCAGCCACUACAGAGAGGGCAUGUCCUCACCCAGGGUGACAGCGUUAGUACUAAGUUUGGGUCUCCAAGUGACGGUUUGCAGUAUGGAUGUAGGUACAGUGCUUGGUCCUGGACUUGGAAGAGCCCAGACUAACAUAGGAACCGGGAUGUGGAAGGAAAAAGAAUACCCCCCCCACCCCCACCCCUGAGGAGUAGCCAUUGGACUGAAGGGAUGGGGAGGGGGAUGGGAGCUGAUUAAGCAAUAGAUCCAUAAAGCCUUUGCCAGGGAGGUCUUUCAAAUGUCAGCAUGUCUCUCUGGAGGACUUGAGUAAAGAAAGCUCAAGGCUUGCUGACAUUAUCAGUGCUCUCUGUCACCUGGCUCUCCUGGCUCCCUUUCUAGCUC